This is a long non-coding RNA of Lytechinus pictus (painted urchin), 1066 nucleotides long. RefSeq lists it as uncharacterized. The transcript is spliced from 2 exons. The record is from RefSeq and is a predicted model, not a curated record. NCBI's taxonomy places the organism in Eukaryota, Metazoa, Echinodermata, Echinoidea, Temnopleuroida, Toxopneustidae.
GGAGUUAUUCAGCUGUGCAAGACAUAAAUGUCUUGGCCUAGCAUUGUGUCUUUUGAAUAGGAGGCAUAGCAAUACACCUAAUUGGGUGUUAUACAUUGUAUGUGGAUUGCUAGUGUACAGAGAGUGGACACACCUCAACUUGAACGCCAUGAGGAAAGGAGAGUUGGUUCUGGCUGCUCUGAAAACGCAGUUUAAGAUAAUUUGUCUUUUUUGAACUUGCUAAUAUUAUGCAAGAACUACUAAUUUUUCUAAUCCAAGGGCAGAAGAGUUAGCCUGUUACAUCAGUGUAAGCUUAACAAUUUUUCAAGCCUGUGAAACUCAAGCCAUCGAUGGCACGUGAUGUUGGGACUUAGGACGAAAUACAUAAUCUGGAUAACUGAGUUGGCGGUUUGAACUACAUCGAAGUCAAGUCAUCCGCACGGCAGUUCCAAACCUUCGAUUUAAAGGCAGACUGUCAUCAAUCGUUGAACCGGUGAGCUGUAUAAAAGCCAGAUAAUGCUUGAAAUGAAACUGUUAUACAGAGAAAAGAUGUCAGUUGAAGAAAACCUGAACUGAGACGUUAUAACUCUUUGAUUGUCAGUUAAGACAAUUUUUUUUUUUUUUUUCGUCGAUGCUUUCAUUGUUGAAGGGCGAGUGGCCCAGGCCAGAAGGCCUAUAUAUUCGAGUUCGUGCACUGAACAAAUUGUAGAAGUUGAUUGUAGAAGUUGAUUGUAGAAGUUGAUUGUAGAAGGUGAUUGUAGAAGUUGAUUGUAGAAGUUGAUUGUAUGAGUUAAAACUCGACACAGUUCUGGUGUCCGUUUCAACUCGUUUAUUGACCGGUAUAAAGAACUUAUGAUAUUCGAAUUGAGAGUUGACUAACAGUAUAGGAUGGUAUGAGAAAUAUUACAUACUAAAGUGAUAUCUAAACAUACAAAAAUUAUAUGCCAAGUGGUGAAGGAUAGAUAGGCUAAUUCAGGGCCUAAUCCCAUCAUUGUUGGAGUGAGGUAUAUGUAUGGAUAGUGAGACAUUAUAUUCACUUAAUGCUAAUUGUGCUAAAUAAACGCUGAUGAUUGUUCUUUAUGCUAAA